GAUUGACAUUGCAUAUUGCUGCCUAAUUUAUUGUCUAUUACAAUUCCCAAAUCCUUCUUGUGUGUGGUUAUCCCUACUUCACUACCAUUUAGGGUGUAAGUUGCUUGUGCAUUCUUAACCCCAAAGUGCAUAACUGCCAUUUUAGUGCCCAGUCCCCCAAUCUAUCCAAAUCCCUCUGCAGCAAAGCAAUAUCCUGCUCACAUUUUAUUACUUUACAAAGUUUUGUGUCAUCUGCAAACACU
Molecule: non-coding RNA, 242 nt
Organism: Pelobates cultripes (western spadefoot toad)
Lineage: Eukaryota; Metazoa; Chordata; Amphibia; Anura; Pelobatidae
Source: the annotation of a GenBank genome assembly